This 406-nucleotide ribosomal RNA is filed under the name uncultured bacterium. RNAcentral's name for it is "partial 16S ribosomal RNA". It matches the Rfam family "Bacterial small subunit ribosomal RNA", at positions 30 to 526 of the family's 1533-position model. The record is from RNAcentral.
AUUGAACGCUGGCGGCAGGCCUAACACAUGCAAGUCGAACGAGUGGCGGACGGGUGAGUAAUGUCUGGGAAACUGCCUGAUGGAGGGGGAUAACUACUGGAAACGGUAGCUAAUACCGCAUACCAUCAGAUGUGCCCAGAUGGGAUUGGCUAGUUUGUGGGGUAACGGCUCACCAAGGCGACGAUCCCUAGCUGGUCUGAGAGGAUGACCAGGCACACUGGAACGGAGAGACGGUGCAGACGCCUAUGAGAGGCAACAGUGGGGAAGAUUGCACAAUGGGCGCAGGCGUGAUGCAGCCAUGCCGCGUGUAUGAAGAAGGCCUUCGGGUUGUAAAGUACUUUCAGCUGGGAGGCGUUACCCGCAGAAGAAGCACCGGCUAACUCCGGGCCAGCCGCCGCGGUAAUUC